CCUGUCAUUGUCUUAAUGCAGAAAGAGGAGAAUAGUGAGAACCUGCAGAGAAAGAGUUCAGCUUUAUGUGAUGUUUAAGUCACUGCAAAAAGUGCCGAUGGAAGAAGUUGGAAGAGUAAAAAGUGUGGAUUGUAUAUUGCUGGUGCUUGGGGAAUGGACAAUAUAAUAGGACGCAGAUGGUGGAACAACCAGAGAAGAACAUCAGAAAUAAAUUGCCCUUGACCCAACCUAUUAAUGCUUUUCAUAUGCAAUUUCACCAAACUCACCAGUGCCUAGACUUACCG
This is a long non-coding RNA of Xyrauchen texanus (razorback sucker), 284 nucleotides long. RefSeq lists it as uncharacterized. NCBI's taxonomy places the organism in Eukaryota, Metazoa, Chordata, Actinopteri, Cypriniformes, Catostomidae. The record is from RefSeq and is a predicted model, not a curated record. The transcript is spliced from 3 exons.